RNAcentral lists this microRNA precursor (103 nucleotides) under Marmota monax (woodchuck). The record is from RNAcentral. Lineage: Eukaryota; Metazoa; Chordata; Mammalia; Rodentia; Sciuridae.
AGUGGGAUAGCUGGAUCAAAUGGUGGUUCCAUUCAAAGUUUUCUAAGGAAUCUACAUACUUCUUUCCAGAUUUGUUGCACCAAUUUGCAGUCCCACAAGGGAU